AUUGAACGCUGGCGGCAUGCCUUACACAUGCAAGUCGAACGGCAGCACGGGUGCUUGCACCUGGUGGCGAGUGGCGAACGGGUGAGUAAUACAUCGGAACGUACCUUAUCGUGGGGGAUAACGCAGCGAAAGCUGUGCUAAUACCGCAUACGCCCUGAGGGGGAAAGCGGGGGAUCGCAAGACCUCGCGCGAUUAGAGCGGCCGAUGCCUGAUUAGCCAGUUGGUGGGGUAAAAGCCCACCAAGGCGACGACCAGUAGCUGGUCUGAGAGGACGAUCAGCCACACUGGGACUGAGACACGGCCCAGACUCCUACGGGAGGCAGCAGUGGGGAAUUUUGGACAAUGGGGGCAACCCUGAUCCAGCAAUGCCGCGUGAGUGAAGAAGGCCUUCGGGUUGUAAAGCUCUUUUGUCAGGGAAGAAACACCGGCUCUAACACAGUCCGGGAAUGACGGUACCUGAAGAAUAAGCACCGGCUAACUACGUGCCAGCAGCCGCCGUAA
This 501-nucleotide ribosomal RNA is filed under the name uncultured bacterium. RNAcentral's name for it is "partial 16S ribosomal RNA". It matches the Rfam family "Bacterial small subunit ribosomal RNA", at positions 29 to 523 of the family's 1533-position model. The record is from RNAcentral.